Plutella xylostella (diamondback moth) is the source of this 153-nucleotide non-coding RNA. Lineage: Eukaryota; Metazoa; Arthropoda; Insecta; Lepidoptera; Plutellidae. The record is from RefSeq and is a predicted model, not a curated record.
UACUUAACCCAUAUAUGCCCAUAACUAGUUUUUAUAUGAAGUUGUUUUACUUUGGGAUAUGAUUAAGAUUCAGAUUCUAAGUUCAAAUAUGCAAAAAAAUCAAGUGGGUCGUUAGCGACCCUCUGGGCAUAUAUGGGUUAAAGUUGUUAAGUA